This 75-nucleotide non-coding RNA is filed under the name pig gut metagenome. RNAcentral describes it as "Cyclic di-GMP-I riboswitch". It matches the Rfam family "c-di-GMP-I riboswitch aptamer", at positions 6 to 83 of the family's 87-position model. Rfam says of the family: GEMM was predicted in a large-scale screen for bacterial structured RNA regulatory elements. Genes associated with GEMM are involved in a diverse array of functions, including chemotaxis regulation, signal transduction, secretion and chitin. The record is from RNAcentral.
AAUACGGCAAAGCAGUCGAAAGGCUGUGACGCAAAGCUAAAGGGGCUUCGGUUCAUAACCAAGCCAGCCAGUUGC